Molecule: long non-coding RNA, 1176 nt
Filed under: Monodelphis domestica (gray short-tailed opossum)
Lineage: Eukaryota; Metazoa; Chordata; Mammalia; Didelphimorphia; Didelphidae
Description: lncRNA (ENSMODG00000034109.2)
Source: RNAcentral
GAGAAAUAUACCUUCUUUUGUUCUUCUGGUUAAAAAAAAACCGACCUUUUAUAUUGUUAUAGGGAAAUUAGCAGGAGCAAGAGCAAUGCUGCAAGGCAGAAGCAGGAAGGUUCCAGAACUCUGGAGAAGUGACAGGGUUGUUGCUUCUUCUGAGAGAGACAGUUGAGCAGCCAGGAGGUUGAGUUUCUGUUUAGAUAUUCUCUAUCCUGUGGCUUUCCUUGUGAUCCAACCUGUUCCUGUGUAUCCUGUGGACUGUCUGAGAUAUUCCUGCAGAGCUUCUUGAGACACCUAAGCCAUCUAUAAUUGGCAUUGGGGAGAGUUUAUCUGUUCCAGAUGAAUUCACCAAAGAGGACAAAGUCACUGGCCAGAGGUUUAGACAGGUGUUGACUGGAGCAAUUGUACAACUCCUUGAGAAUGCCUGAAGAUCAUAAUGCAGGUGAGUUCAUGGUUCACUGUUUGCUGCUAUACAAAGGAAUCAUUUCAGAUUUAUUUGCACUAUUCCUGCCAGGAGAAACAUGGAGAGUUCCAACUAGGUCUUCACAGAGGUCAUGCCAAUUCAUAUUAAUCAUAAAUGAUCAGCAGAGCUAAGUCAAAGGCUAUUUGAAAUGAAUCUUGAAGACAAGCUAGGUAAGGCAUCAGCUUCUGUCCUCUUCCAGAGGAGUUAUAACUGGGCUACAUCUAAUGGUUUUGGCAAUUUGUCUGAUACCCUUCUGAUCAAUUGCUUUUUGCAGCUUGCUGAAAGAAAGGGUUUCAUACACAAGGACUUUUUGCUAUUCUACAGCAGUGUUCUGGGAGAUUUUGUCCCUGCAAUGACCAGGAGCUCUUCUUUGAGCUCAAACUUUACCAUCAUCAAAAAUGAAUCUCAAGAGUGAAUUUGAGAAUAUGUUGAAGGAAGCAGGAACCUUUUCCCUUUUAGGAAUGUAAUUAAAAUUGUAUCUGAGACAUAAUUAAAUUCAGUCCACAUGAAAAGGUACUUACUAUAUUAUUAUUAUUGCCUGUGGAAUUUAUUAACAAAUAAUGAUUGCAUUUUUUUAGUCCUUAGGUCUAUUUUCACAAAAACAAAGAACAUGGUUGUUAAUAUAAACAAAAACCGCUUUGUUUUUUCUCUAUAGACAUUUUUGUUAGUAAUGGUCACAGAUGGCUUCUGGAAUAAACCCCUUAUUAGUCAAGAUUACA